GGUGGUGUAGCUCAAUCGGUUAGAGCAGUCGCCUUAUAAGCGACAGGUUGGUGGUUCAAACCCACCCACUACCA
Molecule: transfer RNA, 74 nt
Filed under: Candidatus Thorarchaeota archaeon
Lineage: Archaea; Promethearchaeati; Candidatus Thorarchaeota
Description: tRNA-Ile
Rfam family: tRNA
About the family: Transfer RNA (tRNA) molecules are approximately 80 nucleotides in length. Their secondary structure includes four short double-helical elements and three loops (D, anti-codon, and T loops).
Source: RNAcentral